AGAGUAGGGGGUGAACGCGGGCGGCGGCGGGGGCCGCUCCGAGCCCGCGGUUCCUGCACACCAAGGCGGGGGUCGGGGUCGGCGGCGGGAGCUCCGGGUUCUCCACCGGCUGCAGCGCUGGCAGCGGCGGCAGGAAGUCCUCGGGUGGGACGGAGACCCCGCCCCGUGCCCUUGGCCUUGGAGGUCGUGGCGGGGCUGCCUCUGGUGUCCGAGGACCUCUGCACUGGAGGGGGAGGAGGAAGGCUGGACCUGGGGGCGUUCCCGGUUGGUGGUGGUUCCCGAGGGCUGCUUUCUUAUUUCUGAGGCCCAGGCUGAGCGCAGUGGCUGCAUCGGGGCUCACUGCCGCCUAGACCUCCCGAGCUCUAGGGAUCCUCCUGCCGCAGCCGCCCGAGGAGCAUUCUUUAUUUUUGACAAUACAGCCCCAAGGAGCAGGACCAUGCCAUAGAUAUGUGAGUUAAUCUGCUUAAAUACUUCAAGCUACACUAGUCUGCUAUGGAAUUGAGCACCACAGAAUGUGGCUUCAGCCUCAGAUGUGAUUUCUAUUUGAACUCAGAAACCGUGUCUUAGAUCUCCCAUGCAGCUCUCAAAGUGCUUUGCACGGUUGAGGUUACAUGGAAAUGUUCAACAAAUGAGUUCAUGGCAUAUUUUUUAUUUCAUUGUUUUUAAUAAAUAUGAAAAAU
Molecule: long non-coding RNA, 680 nt
Organism: Sapajus apella (tufted capuchin)
Lineage: Eukaryota; Metazoa; Chordata; Mammalia; Primates; Cebidae
Exons: 2
Source: RefSeq, a predicted model, not a curated record